Molecule: ribosomal RNA, 497 nt
Filed under: uncultured bacterium
Lineage: Bacteria
Description: partial 16S ribosomal RNA
Rfam family: Bacterial small subunit ribosomal RNA
Source: RNAcentral
GAUGAACGCUGGCGGCGUGCCUAAUACAUGCAAGUCGAGCGAACGGACGAGAAGCUUGCUUCUCUGAUGUUAGCGGCGGACGGGUGAGUAACACGUGGAUAACCUACCUAUAAGACUGGGAUAACUUCGGGAAACCGGAGCUAAUACCGGAUGAUAUUUUGAACCCCAUGGUUCAAAAGUGAAAGACGGUCUUGCUGUCACUUAUAGAUGGAUCCGCGCUGCAUUAGCUAGUUGGUAAGGUAACGGCUUACCAAGGCAACGAUGCAUAGCCGACCUGAGAGGGUGAUCGGCCACACUGGAACUGAGACACGGUCCAGACUCCUACGGGAGGCAGCAGUAGGGAAUCUUCCGCAAUGGGCGAAAGCCUGACGGAGCAACGCCGCGUGAGUGAUGAAGGUCUUCCGAUCGUAAAACUCUGUUAUUAGGGAAGAACAUAUGUGUAAGUAACUGUGCACAUCUUGACGGUACCUAAUCAGAAAGCCACGGCUAACUACGUG